RNAcentral lists this long non-coding RNA (419 nucleotides) under Androctonus crassicauda. The record is from RNAcentral. Lineage: Eukaryota; Metazoa; Arthropoda; Arachnida; Scorpiones; Buthidae.
UGAGACUUGAACCCGGGUCCUCCAGAGUGGAAAGCCGAAGCGUUUCCACUCUGUAGGACUCGUGUUCGAGUUUUGGGUCCCACCUCUCAAAAAUAUUUAUUCAUGGAAUCCUGGCCAGGCUCGUCGAUCCCCGUCUUUCACAAUCCGAGUGACCCCUCUGCAGAGGUGGGCAGCCUGUGGAAGGCUUGUUUCGCCCCGCCACUUAGUACUGUUAUAUAUUGUUUCUUCCGAGAUUAUAUUACGAGCUGGCAGCACGGCCGGACACAGGAGAGCACAGCUUGGAAGUGCACAUGCUUUAGUAUGUCUCGGGAAUAAAAUGUAUUAAUUGAUCUUUACAAUAAAUACUUAGAUUGAAAAGUGGGUACGGGUGUCAUAUGUCUGCCCUCGAAAAUUCGACCCAAUUUAUAGUGCAACCCCCU